AAAAAUUUAGUUAAAAUUAUAACAUUAGUUUGUCAAACUAAAAUUAUUUAUAAAAUAAUUUUUA
This 64-nucleotide transfer RNA is filed under the name Staphylinidae sp. BMNH 1274240. RNAcentral describes it as "tRNA-Asp". Lineage: Eukaryota; Metazoa; Arthropoda; Insecta; Coleoptera; Staphylinidae. The record is from RNAcentral.